CCAGCUGCUCCAAGCCAGGCUGAAGGAGGAGAAGGAGGAGUCGCCUGUGGUAGGGUCGAGCAGAUGACGUGGCUCUGCAGCUUGCCUCAUGCAGUUGGUGGUGGAGAUGGAGACCGCAGCUCGACUGGAGUGGUAUGAGGGCACCCACGGGGGCCAGGUGAGUAUUGUCAUGUGCAUGAGCAAACCUGGAUCAUCACCACAUCUUUGCAAGAGGAAAAAGAAUGGGAGGGAAUCAUGUGUAUAAUGUUGUUAAGGCAAAGAUUCACAACCA
RNAcentral lists this long non-coding RNA (271 nucleotides) under Homo sapiens (human). Its description in RNAcentral is "novel transcript". Lineage: Eukaryota; Metazoa; Chordata; Mammalia; Primates; Hominidae. The record is from RNAcentral.